RNAcentral lists this transfer RNA (77 nucleotides) under Nakamurella aerolata. Its description in RNAcentral is "Nakamurella sp. DB0629 tRNA-Leu". It matches the Rfam family "tRNA". From Rfam's summary of the family: Transfer RNA (tRNA) molecules are approximately 80 nucleotides in length. Their secondary structure includes four short double-helical elements and three loops (D, anti-codon, and T loops). Further hydrogen bonds mediate the characteristic L-shaped molecular structure. tRNAs have two regions of fundamental functional importance: the anti-codon, which is responsible for specific mRNA codon recognition, and the 3' end, to which the tRNAs corresponding amino acid is attached (by aminoacyl-tRNA synthetases). tRNAs cope with the degeneracy of the genetic code in two manners: having more than one tRNA (with a specific anti-codon) for a particular amino acid; and 'wobble' base-pairing, i.e. permitting non-standard base-pairing at the 3rd anti-codon position. The record is from RNAcentral. Lineage: Bacteria; Bacillati; Actinomycetota; Actinomycetes; Nakamurellales; Nakamurellaceae.
GGGGCCGUAGCCCAAUUGGCAGAGGCACACGGUUUAGGUCCGUGCCAGUGCGGGUUCGACUCCCGUCGGCCCCACCA